AUGAUAAGAAGGCAUUUCAAGUUAAUUACCAAUACAAGACUCUAUAUCCAAGAGGAUGUUCGAUACCAUUCCAAAACCAUACAUCAUAUGUCAUUUCAAAAUUACAAAGAAAAUUUCAUAAAAACUUCUCCUAAAAACUUAGUUCUAAUCUUCCAUCCUACUUCUGUUUCUUCUCAGUUCAACCUUGCUUGCACUAUGCCUAAACUUCUUCACGCUUCCUUCAAAAAAUUUACCAUGGCAGCCCUGCAUAAUUUAUAG
This is a non-coding RNA of Vicia faba (fava bean), 258 nucleotides long. The record is from the annotation of a GenBank genome assembly. Lineage: Eukaryota; Viridiplantae; Streptophyta; Magnoliopsida; Fabales; Fabaceae.